This 5230-nucleotide long non-coding RNA is filed under the name Equus caballus (horse). Its description in RNAcentral is "lncRNA (ENSECAG00000050291.1)". The record is from RNAcentral. Lineage: Eukaryota; Metazoa; Chordata; Mammalia; Perissodactyla; Equidae.
GAAGAUAUGAGUUACUGACUCCAAAAGGAAGAGGUCACUUACUGACCCUAACAGGAAGAGGUCCCCAAUAGGAAGAGACCUACCUUGCACUCCCCAACAGGAAGUGCAACUACUUUGCUGCUCCAGCAGGAGGAAGGAUGACUUCCUUCUUGCUCAGCAACAAGCUCAGCCAAUGAGAAGCCAUCAUCACCUGAGCAUUUACUUUCCCUCAAUGAACUUUCAUCUCUUCCUUGCUGAUGACUUCCUUUCCUUGUCUCACCCUCCGUACUAUAAAAACCUUUCAGGUGGUGUAACCCCUCAGAACAUCUCUCGGCUUGCCAGAUGAGAUGCUGCCCAAUUCAAGAAUCAGUUAACAGAACCAAUUAAAUCUUCAAAUUUACUCAGUUGAAUUUUGUUUCUUAACAUCUUACAUAUGAAGCAGUAUCAUAUUUGUUGGUGGACUCAGAUUAUUUUAACGUAUAUCGUGAGCUCUAGGGCAACUACCCAAAAAGGUUUUUUAAAAAAGAUUUAAUAGUAAGACAAUAGAAGAGAUAAAAUGGAAUAAUAAAAAAUGCUGAAUUAACCUGAAGAAGGCAGAAAAAGAAGGAAAAUAAAAAAAGAACAAAUGUGGCAAAUAUAAAACGGCUAGCAAGAUAACAGUUCUAAACACAUCAGUUAAAGACAGAUUGUCAGAAUGGAAGAAGCAGCGAUACACAACUAUAUGCUGUCUGUAAGGAGCCUGCGUGUACCCUUCUUGUCCCAUAAGAGGCUCCAUAUUUUCCUCCACCUGUCCCACAGGGGACACAUACAGCAGUGGGGGUGGCCAGGUGCCAUAUGACACACCUGCUUUAAUAGAACAAGGAGCAUUGGCUGCGUCUGAAACAGGGAAAGACAAGGUGACAAGUCCAGCACAGGCUGUGUGGCCCCUCAUCUCUCAGGGAGGAAGUGCUCCAGGCCCAUGGCCCACCCUCACGUGCCCGAGGAGGAGUCUGAAGUCAUCCUCUCCCAACAGCAUGUCCUCAGACCAUAGCGGAAUUAGACUUGAAAUCAAUAACGUGAAGAUACCCGACCUAGCUGGAAAUCGAACAACCGACCUCUAAACAACCCGUGCAUCCAAGAGGGAGUCUCAAUGGGAAAUGUAAAAAUAUUCUGAACUAAGGGAAAAUGAAAAUGCAUCGUAUCAGAAUCUGUGGGACACACCUAGGGAGCGCUGCUGGGACCUUCACAGCACUGACGCACGUGUCAGCAGAGAAAGACUCUGAUCGAUACGUAAACUUCUCCCCCAGGAAAACCAGGGAAAGAAGAGCUUUUGAUUAAAGCAAAUGCAAGCAGGAGGAGGGAAAUAAUGACUCGAGUAGAAACCGACGGAGUUGAAGACAGAAAAGUAGACAAUAUCAAUGAAGCCAAAGGCUGGUUCCAUGAACAAUCUGCACAGCUAGUGGACAUGUCGCCAGACUGACUGAGAGAAACGGAGAGAAGACACCAUGACCAGGCCCAGAAAUGAAAGCACGCCGUUGACGCUGAUCCACAGACAAUAGAAGGAGAGUAAGGAGACACUAUGAACAACUCUGUGCCCCUUAGAAAUCAGAUGAUGCUGCUCAGUGUCAGUGUGUUGUUGUCUUUCUUUGAAGAGUGUUGACGUUUGUCUCGGCAGCAGGUAAAUCUUGCAAACCAUUUGGACUUUUUACAGCUUGUUUUCUCGUCCUUGAUAGGGGACGUCUAGAGCUGCCUUCACCUCUGGGAUAAUCAGCCCUACUAAGGGAGGGUGACCCGGGCCUACCCUGGGUGCCCAGAACAGUCACCAUGUCUCCACGCUUGCUGGUCAGUCUCAAAUGGCUCUCAGUCCUGGUCGAGUCUGGCUCUUCAACUGACAACCUCACAGUCCUGCCCGGGUCCGCGUGUCUGUGGAGUCUCCCUCAUGGCAGGCACGGUCUACGCUCAGGAAGGACUCUGUGGCCCACUGUGUGUCCCUGCGGGUUCCCUUUUCCUGAAGCUGCUGCUUCUCUGGGACUCCUCCUUGCCACCACCACCGCCUGAUCCCCCUGAACUGAGUUCUCUCCCCAGAACUCGGGGCCAUCGGGCCCUUUCGAGGUUCCCUCCGGCACCCACAGCUCUCUGGCUCCAGGAAGACAGCUGGGGUGACACAGGGCUGCGCUCCAGUCCCCCUGCACUGCCUGUGGCCAUGACGGAGCUGUUUAGGGUGGGAGCUUUUGUCCCCUCAUUGUUACUCCAUUGUGACCAGAAGCAGAAGUCCAGUGGCUUCUUUUGAGGACCGAAAACCAUGAGUCUUCACUCUCUCUAAAUGGCUUUCUCCCUCAAUCCCUUUCACCUUAAAAGUUUGCAUUUCUAGAUUCUACAGGGAGUUUGAAACAUUACAAAUCUACUCAUCACGUCCACAUGACGGUUUGUGAAUUCUUUGAGCUUAAAAUAUUAAAAUCCAGUCGAUUUGAUAUUGAGGAAAAUGGACAAUUAGUCAAGACACUGUAUAAGCCAGUAGAUAUUUGUCCUAAAUCACAAAGACUGCUAACUGAUUUCGAGGCAAUAUGCCAGUAGUGGCAAAUGAUAGCCUGGAAUAGUGUUUUGUGUGUGUGUAUAGAAUGGAAAUUCAAUGAGUGUCUUAACGGUAACCUCUCCCAUGUACAAGAGAUUCACCAUUUCGUAUAUUCUCUUAAAGGCGGGGAACAGAUUCACGAUACGUUUGUCUUCAUGCUUUCCUCCCACCCCUUUCCCACUGAGAGGUCAGAGCAGUGACUGGAGAGACAACAGACUCAUUCUCCCCCCGAAAACCUGUCAGGUACCCCGUUGGCCCAGGAUCUGCACAGCUGCUUUAGGAUGCUGAGAGGGAUGUUUCCGAGGUGACUGUUUCAGCUGCCAUCUGCUCUGAGCUGUGGAGGCCGAAAUACCUGUCAAUAAAGCGACUUUGGGACUUUCUAUUACAAUCUAUUUGAAGCUUGGGAUCUUCAAGCACUUUUGUCUUAAGUGAAAAUAUUUAAACUCCCACUCGUCCUAAGACCCCAUCACCCCCACAGCUGCUACCUGCAGGUGAGGCUGGCUGUCCGAGAGUGGUGUCUGUGGGCUGCGCAAAGGAGGCUCUUUUCGUUUUCCGAGACGUGGAGGCUGCGACGCUGAGGCCUGGCGCGGGCAGGUGUCCGCUGUUGCCCAGAGGAGCGGUGACGGCGGGAGGCACCUUUUCUGCAGGAGGAGAACAUCAGGCAGUGAUGGAAAGAGAGGAAGCACGAUCCGUGUGCAGCUGGUUUCCAAUGAGAUGCCCAAGCUCAGCGACGACUCGUCCCCUCCAUCUGCUCAUCAUCCAUUUUCAGAGGAAGCAGGUCAAAGAGCACGGUCCACUCGGGGCCUCCCGAAGGACCCUGGAUGGUGGAAAACAACACUAUCUUUCUUGUUUUCCCAGCAGAGAACUCAUAGGUCAUAAAAGUCCCCCAAGUCACAAAGUUAAAAAGUUAUAGAGCUACCAUGGGCCCCCGGAUUGUCUGCACAGGGUCAGGUGGAGGCAUUCAGUGGCACUCAGAAAGAUAGGUGAGAAACCAAGUGAAUGAGUCUGUGGAUGGAAGAGCAUUUCCAAGAGAAGGAAUUCAACCUUAAGACUGUAGCAGAGAGACCCUGUCUGGUUUCCUGUCUGACAUCCUGCCCUCUCUCAUGUUCCACCCACCCCCGACCUGGUCUGGUGAUGGCUACAGGGAGCCUGGGCCUUGGAAACACUCCUUAGUCCAUGGACUCUUUCCACCAGCUACCCAGUCUUUUCUCUUAAGGCCUUCAACUGAUUGGACGAGGCCCGCCAGCAUUAUUAAGAGUGAUCUGCCUUACUCAAAGUCCACCAAUUUCAAUGUUGAUCUCAUCUGAAAAAAUACCUUCACAACAACAUCUAGAUUGGUAUUGGACCAAAGAAUUGGACACCAUGACCUGGCCGAGUUGACACACAAAAUUACCAUCAUCUAUGCGUACAAGAUGUUAUUGAAAUUGCCUGCUCGCUUUUCCUGAACAUUGGAGAGCUGUCGUAACUGCUCCAGCAACUUUGAUGCCCCGAAAUGGAGGGGUGGGUGGUUGCCGGGACUGCUUUGCACAUUUUGACGCACAGGGGCCGCUGUCUCAAAGGUGGAAGCAGUGAGAAGGCGCAGGAGCAGGUCUCUGUGGGCAUCCCCAGGGCGGUCCUGGACUGGCGUGCCAAGGUCAAGUUCAUCCACCCCAUGAGGAAGGCUCUGGACUAGGCUGCCGUGAGGUUAGUGGCCCAGGGCCACCGAGAUCAGACAGCACUGGCCCCAGAGGUCCAACUGGGGACCCAGGGCACUGAGGCAUCUUCUGCACCUCUCCCAGCCCUCUGCCCCCUGUGCUCUGGCUCCUCUAGAAGCAUGUCCUGAAUCAGCCUUUUUUCCAGAUCUUCUUGGUUCUGGCUUCCUCUCCCGGGGAGAAAGAGCGCCCAGGUCAUUGCCACCCCUCUGAGCACCCUCCCUGGAGCCAUCUUGGGGUGUGGGCUCCCCCAGACUGAGGAGGCAGCACAGCCUGGCCCCCAGCCAUCCUGGUCAGCACAGAUGAACUUCUUCACCUGCCCACAUGCCCCCAGGAGUGUCGCAUGCCGCUUUUCUCCGCCUCUUUGGAAAAGUGCGCCUGGCCUCCCGGACCUGAGCUGCAUCAGGCUGGAGCGAGGGGAGGAGACCCAGCAACCACUCAGUGUGGUGACAGACGCGGGACACCCAGUCUGCACGACCCCUUCAACUGCAUCCACCAAGCCAAGAAAGACAGAACCGAUGUCCCCUGAGAAACAGUCGAGGGGUGUUCUGGAGCCCCUGCAGCCCCGGGCGUAAUGCCCUUGACUUGGACAUGCGAUGAUGUGAGUCAGAAGCUUCCUCGUCACCGGGUCCCAACAGAACCUUGGAAAAUCGUUGCCCGAAGUGCAGACUCUACUAGCUGUUUUAAUAUUGUAUAUGUGCAAGAAACUAAAGAAAAACCGUGAUGACCAGCUUAGAUACAAGUGAAAUUCCAUCCUUGAGGGUCUUCACAGCCCACUUUUGCAAGCCUGUACUCAGUGUGUGCCCGGGUUUGCCUUUUUCUGCUCGAACAUCUGAGUGUGCGCAUGUUUUGGUGGGGGGCGCAGGCACGCCCUAGCUGCUUUCUCAAGAGCACUUUUAGGAACUUGAACUCUUAACCGUUGGAGCCAAUGUAGGCACCGGUAUUAGGCUCUUUGAUUUUAAAAAGGUCCUUAUGUUGGGAGUCUUGUGUUCUGAAACGUUCAUUCCAG